Molecule: unclassified non-coding RNA, 253 nt
Filed under: uncultured Nitrospinota bacterium
Lineage: Bacteria; Pseudomonadati; Nitrospinota
Description: uncultured Nitrospinae bacterium contains 16S-23S intergenic spacer region
Rfam family: Bacterial small subunit ribosomal RNA
Source: RNAcentral
UACGAAGGGGGCAAGCGUUGUUCGGAAUCAUUGGGCGUAAAGCGUAUGUAGGCGGCUGGUCAAGUCAGACGUGUAAGCCCACGGCUCAACCGUGGAAUUGCGUUUGAAACUGCCCAGCUUGAGUUCAGGAGAGGAAAGCGGAAUUCCCAGUGUAGCGGUGAAAUGCAUUGAUAUUGGGAAGAACAUCGGUGGCGAAGGCGGCUUUCUGGCCUGAAACUGACGCUGAGAUACGAAAGCCAGGGGAGCAAACGGG